UAUACAUGCAAGUCGUACGCACUGGCCCAACUGAUUGAUGGUGCUUGCACCUGAUUGACGAUGGAUCACCAGUGAGUGGCGGACGGGUGAGUAACACGUAGGUAACCUGCCCCGGAGCGGGGGAUAACAUUUGGAAACAGAUGCUAAUACCGCAUAACAACAAAAGCCACAUGGCUUUUGUUUGAAAGAUGGCUUUGGCUAUCACUCUGGGAUGGACCUGCGGUGCAUUAGCUAGUUGGUAAGGUAACGGCUUACCAAGGCGAUGAUGCAUAGCCGAGUUGAGAGACUGAUCGGCCACAAUGGAACUGAGACACGGUCCAUACUCCUACGGGAGGCAGCAGUAGGGAAUCUUCCACAAUGGGCGCAAGCCUGAUGGAGCAACACCGCGUGAGUGAAGAAGGGUUUCGGCUCGUAAAGCUCUGUUGUUGGAGAAGAACGUGCGUGAGAGUAACUGUUCACGCAGUGACGGUAUCCAACCAGAAAGUCACGGCUAACUACGUGCCAGCAGCCGCGGUAAUACGUAGGUGGCAAGCGUUAUCCGGAUUUAUUGGGCGUAAAGCGAGCGCAGGCGGUUGCUUAGGUCUGAUGUGAAAGCCUUCGGCUUAACCGAAGAAGUGCAUCGGAAACCGGGCGACUUGAGUGCAGAAGAGGACAGUGGAACUCCAUGUGUAGCGGUGGAAUGCGUAGAUAUAUGGAAGAACACCAGUGGCGAAGGCGGCUGUCUGGUCUGCAACUGACGCUGAGGCUCGAAAGCAUGGGUAGCGAACAGGAUUAGAUACCCUGGUAGUCCAUGCCGUAAACGAUGAGUGCUAGGUGUUGGAGGGUUUCCGCCCUUCAGUGCCGGAGCUAACGCAUUAAGCACUCCGCCUGGGGAGUACGACCGCAAGGUUGAAACUCAAAGGAAUUGACGGGGGCCCGCACAAGCGGUGGAGCAUGUGGUUUAAUUCGAAGCUACGCGAAGAACUUACCAGGUCUUGACAUCUUGCGCUAACCUUAGAGAUAAGGCGUUCCCUUCGGGGACGCAAUGACAGGUGGUGCAUGGUCGUCGUCAGCUCGUGUCGUGAGAUGUUGGGUUAAGUCCCGCAACGAGCGCAACCCUUGUUACUAGUUGCCAGCAUUAAGUUGGGCACUCUAGUGAGACUGCCGGUGACAAACCGGAGGAAGGUGGGGACGACGUCAGAUCAUCAUGCCCCUUAUGACCUGGGCUACACACGUGCUACAAUGGACGGUACAACGAGUCGCAAGCUCGCGAGAGUAAGCUAAUCUCUUAAAGCCGUUCUCAGUUCGGACUGUAGGCUGCAACUCGCCUACACGAAGUCGGAAUCGCUAGUAAUCGCGGAUCAGCAUGCCGCGGUGAAUACGUUCCCGGGCCUUGUACACACCGCCCGUCACACCAUGGGAGUUUGUAACGCCCAAAGUCGGUGGCCUAACCUUUAUGGAGGGAGCCGCCUAAG
Molecule: ribosomal RNA, 1454 nt
Filed under: Limosilactobacillus reuteri
Lineage: Bacteria; Bacillati; Bacillota; Bacilli; Lactobacillales; Lactobacillaceae
Description: bacterial SSU rRNA
Rfam family: Bacterial small subunit ribosomal RNA
Source: RNAcentral